This 682-nucleotide long non-coding RNA is filed under the name Homo sapiens (human). Its description in RNAcentral is "HSALNT0251888". Lineage: Eukaryota; Metazoa; Chordata; Mammalia; Primates; Hominidae. The record is from RNAcentral.
GGUAGUCUUUGAUCAUAUGUUCUCCUGUCUGGAGGAACUAAUAUGUCCUUCCAACUCUGCCCAGCCUUCAGUGUACCACACCAAGGAACUCCCACACUCUGAAUGAACAGCCCAGUGAUCAGGAGCUUUGAAUCAAUUCUUGGCACCUAACAGUUUGUGAAGAGUCUGCUAAACUCCCUCUAUCAGAAAUCCCAGAGGACUGAGAACAGGUCAUCCUUGGAGCUGUAUCUGAAUGGAGUCAGGAUCUGGAAGCCCAAGUCUCCUUGUCAAUGUCUGCUUGGUUCCCAAGGACACCUGUAAAUGGAAGAGGGGCAUAGUACACAGAAGACAUUGCUGGCAAGUGUGGUCUCUUUACGAUCAGUUGGAGUACCAUCUAUAGUUAAACUGUAUAAAGGAAAAAAAUCCUAUGAGUCAGUUUCCAGACCUAUGAGUGCUUUGAAGAUUACAUCAAUGGAGUUCCAUAUAUUGAAACCACAAGCUUCCUGCCAAUUGUCUGGAUUUACAAAGAUCUAUUUCACUUUGAACUAAUGAGGAAGAACUCCCAAGGCUAUUAUCUAUAGACAUGCAUGAACUUUUAAGGGACAUUUAAAAGCCAGAUCUUUACCCCCAAUUUUUCUCCUAUCUUUAUAUAAACAUAACGGUUAAUAUAGAAAAGAAAGCUGAAUUACUAUUUACAUUGUUC